UGCAGGUCUGCAUGCGAUGAUGCGAUCAAUACCGAAAGAGUUAAAUAAAGAAGAAAAAUUAAAAGAAGAUUAUACCUCCAAAAUUAACAACGAAUAUUUCCAUUGGUAUGAUCAAUAGAAGAAAACGUUUUUAAUUAUACAUUAUCAAAUUCAUAAUGCGGUUUAAAAAUAAUUCACAAUCGCAUGAAUAUUAUUAAAGCACAAAAUGAUUUUAUUUUUUGUUGUCCACAUUAAUGUAUAAUAUGUUUUUCGUGUUGUCUUAUCGAAGAUAAUACUUUGAACCUUGUGCUCAAUUAUUUUUAUGAAAACGAUGUUUAAAAUACGUCACGAUAUUGAAUUUUUCUACGAAUUUUUUUGAAAUUUGAGUUACGAUAAGCGAAUUAUUAUUAUCAUAUUAUCGUAACAUUCCUUUUUUUC
Long non-coding RNA from Apis laboriosa (Himalayan honeybee), 417 nucleotides. RefSeq lists it as uncharacterized. The record is from RefSeq and is a predicted model, not a curated record. The transcript has 3 exons. Lineage: Eukaryota; Metazoa; Arthropoda; Insecta; Hymenoptera; Apidae.